Triticum aestivum (bread wheat) is the source of this 8864-nucleotide long non-coding RNA. RefSeq lists it as uncharacterized. Lineage: Eukaryota; Viridiplantae; Streptophyta; Magnoliopsida; Poales; Poaceae. The record is from RefSeq and is a predicted model, not a curated record. The transcript has 2 exons.
UCCUUUAUAUGAAUCCCCACGCCGCCACCUCCCCUGUCCCAGUAAACAGCGUUCUUCUUCCCUCUUCCUCCUCCCGCAGAUCUCCGAUCUCGACCUGUCUUCCUUGUUUCCGAACCUCUUUUCCGUUCGUUCUUCCCGGGGGGUUUGAGGACGGUGAGGACGUCACCGCGGACGCACCUCCCAGUUCGUCGCUGUUCUUGUCUUCUCUCGAUUUGAUUGACCCUCUGUGUUUUCUGUUUCUCGAUUCGAAUGUUUUUCGUUGUACGGUUUCUGCAAGAUCAGCUUCUUGUCUGGGCCUCGUUACCCAGGACCCCAGCCAAUCGGCAAAUCGUGCUGCCAUCUUGCUAGAUCGAACCCCCAAUCCGGCUUUCAACUCGCCCGGAUCUGAUUGAUUACUCGAUGAUUCUCCGGGCCCUUUCCGUCGGCACAGAACGAAAAUUUCUUUGAGAUUUGUCACUUUUUUGUUUUUGUUUUUGUACUUCUGGAGUAUAAAAGCAAACUCACUCUGUCCCAAAGCCAUUCCGUGUUUUGAGGCAGUUUCUUCGUCUGCGAGAUGGAUGUAACCCAAGUAUCUCGUCCGCGAGUCCUUCUCAAACCAGUAGUUUUGCUUUGUUGUUAUAGAAAAUGAAGAGAGUUGGUUUUGCUUGGCUGGUGAUGAUUCAGGUCCGAAUGGAUCUGAGCGGAUUUCGGUGAGGCGGAUUCGUCCGCCGUUGAUCGAUUCAUGUUGUUACACACACUGAAGCCUUUUUCUUUCUUUCUUGUUUCGAUUAUCCUUUUCGUUCUUGCGAUGCGAUGAUGAUUCAUAUAGGUUUUGGCAGUGGUGGCUUCUGUCACCGUGAGCCUUCAAACCAAAAACGACUUCUCUUUCCACUGAGCAUUGCUUUAACCACAUUCUUCUCCUGGUCUGUUUUGUUUGUUUAUCGGCGGCCAAGGAUUAAACUGAAUUAUAGACAAGCAUAUGUCCGAAUUCUCUUCAUGUGGAACGAUCUAAUCUUCUCUAUGAGGCCAGCGAUCUUGCUUCUUUCUUGAUCUGCAGUUUUAUUAGAUGCGUUCUGUGGUUGAUGCCGAUGAUGAUUAGUGUGAACCUUUCUCAAUGAAAUCGCUAAUGAUUACAUAACCUACUGCCUUCCUUCUGAGGCGCCACGAAUCCUCGAUUCCUUAUGUCCUUUUCUAUCAUCACUAUGUUUUGGUUGUCUCUUGAAUUAUUGGUUUGCCAAGGUCGAAUGAUGAUCACAAGUGCAUAGUUCAUAUGAUCAAAUCGUGAUUACUUGAACAAAAAUAGUCUUUCGCUCCUAUCUGACGACCCUACAACCUGCCCUUUCUCAGGAGAAUCAAACAAUUUGUGUGUUUAUGUUUUGCAACCUCAUGUCUGAAUUUGUUGUAGAGGACGGUGAAGAUUGGUAUUUGCGCUGCCGACCAUCCUGCUAUAUCACCACCCGUAUUCUGAGUACCAUAUUGUUUGUUACAUGUUACAUGUGGAAAGCAUAAUUUGUUUUUGUACUAGUAUAACUUGUCUGAGGUAGGCUGACCAUCACAAGUGCAUAGCCACAGAUGACCAAACUGUGAUUGCAUACUGUAGCUUUCCUGUUUAAAUUCAGUUCAAAUUUCAUAUGAGAAACCAUACCUACCCAGUAAAGCUAUUUGGAUAUGAGGAAUAAUUUUGGAGAAUGUUUUACUUGUAUUUGGAGCAGUGACGAGACAUUCACUCAAUAUCAUCUUUCAGGUUUGAUUAAUCGCUAUGUUCUUACCUAGCUUCAUAUAAUAUGUUCAGAACUUUAAUGUUAAUGCUAGUGACCUCUACAAAGCCAUUCUACUACACAUUAGGCAGUUAAUGAACUUAUUGGGAUGACACAUCUCAAGAAAAAGAAUUUUUUUGGAAUAAUACAGAAAUGACAGAAUUAAGAGUAAUAGAUGGAAUUUCAUAUUUUCGGGAUCUUUGAUUAGGCGGCACUUGCAUAGUUAGUUGUUUUUGAAUUGGUAGACCAUCUACAAUAGGUACUUUGAUGUUUGCAAUGAUUCUUUAGGCCAGUUUUUGAGGAUGAUGAUUUCAUAUUUGUUGCCCCAGUCUUAGGAUCCGCCUAGGUGGAUCUCUGCUGAUUGACAUAUUUUUGAAUCUGACUCGGCAGAUGAAAAUUUUGAACUGUUGGUUUGGUUUUCUUUUCUACUUAUUUUUCCUGGGUGAUGGCAGUGACGAUUUGCAAAAUUCAAGCUCAACAGACCAAAUCACAGGUUUUCUCUCAGGAGUUGAUUUGUAUGCCGAUUAACCUUCUGAACCGAGCCAUCUGACACUGAGUUUUUAAAACUGAAGUUCAUUGUUCUUAUCUUUGGAUCCUUCACUUCCAUGCUGCGUUUUGUGUUUAUUUAUUUUAGCUUGUAUUGGAGGACGUAGUUGCAAUGAGGAUAACAAGCUCCCUCUUCUGAAAGCAUUGACGACAUCGCUGGCAGAAUCGAACCAAUUAAAUAUUGCCACCACUGAGCAACUCUGUAUCUUUGUACAAUCUUUGUUGCUUCUUCUUACAUCUACAAGAUCUGUUUGGAUCGUGAGGAAGUAUUGAUGCAUAAUCCAACACUUGAUCCGAGGGCAGCUUGCGCAGCCCAUAUGAUGUCAUCUUUGCAACUGAAUCCAUCAGAUUUCAGUGUUAUUUUUUCUGAAACUUUGAAACAAUCUUAGGACACCUUCGGACACAGUGCUUAAUUUUCUGUGAAUCAGAAGUCUUCUGUAUUCUGAUGAUACAUCUUGUUUUCAUCAUUUUUUACAAUCUUGUCUUCCAAGUUGGAUCUAUAAUGCAAUUGAAGCCCAUGAUGAUUAGCUUUAUGUUGGAAUUACCGUCAGAUACUGAAUGAUGAUAUUUUUGCGGCUUUCUGAGGCAUAAAACCAUUAGCUUCAGGUCUUCUGUAGUUUUUGCAUUGUUAAUUUCGUUCAACUUAAAUUAUCCCUGUGAAGUUUCUCAGACCAUAGGAAGUGUCAUAUGACACUGUAAACAACAGUUGCUUCUCUCCACUGCAAGUGUCCUCCCUCGAGCAUAGCCUUUGUGGUUUUCUUUCCGUGUUAAUUUUGUUUUCUUUCGGCGAAGAUCCCAGCAGAGAGGUGUUGAAUCUCCCUCGUUGAGGCCUCUCUAACAAAUUUUUAAUCUUCGCACGGUGACGAGAUGCCGUGGAUUUUGUGGAUGUGUGAUAUUCCUGGUUCUGUCACAUCUGUUGCUAUGGAUACAUCUUUAUCAUACUAUGGUAUCUAACCUUCUGUUUUCCAUCCGAGGGACCUAUGGAUGGACAGCCCUUCCCGUGCUGUGUCUACCAAGUUUGCCUUCGGACACUAUAAAGCAAUUUGUUCUUCAAUCAUCUUGCUUCAAACUCUUUAUUUUUUGUGAGGUUGAAACUUUUGCUGACAUUUGAUUUAUGUAUAGCCAAUGAAUUUUUGUUUCUAAUUUUCAGUCUUGCAAAUCAGACCCAACGAGUGACGAUUCAGGCAGCCCUUUUGUCCAUUACAAUGGCAAUGGAGGUGUUGCGUUGCUCGGAGAUUAAAUUUCUGCUCUUCAGAUUAGCUGAGUGGGAGGCUCUGCUUCCCUCGUUGAAGCUUGUCUAGUAGUCUUAAGAACAUCUAAUAGCCCUCGUUACAAACUUUGUCGAACAUUGUAGUUCUGUGACGAGCGAUGAUUCAGGCAGCCUCUUUAUCAUUACAGUGGCAUUGGAGGUGUUGCGUUGCUCGGAUAGUAAACCUAUUGCUCUUCAGAUUAGCUGAGGGGGAGGCUCCUGCUUCCCUCCCUGAAGCUGGUCUAGUAGUCUUAAGAACAUUAUUAUAAGUAUGUUUCUCAUACCCGAUUUUAAUUUUGACCUUUUUUGUUUGUGAAAUGGUAAUUCAAUAAUUGGUUGGUGAUCCAUGAAAACAAAUGAUGAUAGCAAGAUAGGGACAUCAGAACCCUGAAUUUCAGGGUUAUUACAGAUUACGUCUAUAAUGGGAAUCUCUCUGAUGUUUUCGAUUCCCCAAGUUAAAUUGAUCUGUUUUUUCCUUUUCAAUCAGUCUUCUUUGGAAUAUGCUCUUGCAAUUCAGAUCUUGGAUGGCAAUGCUCAGCCCAUGGUCGGCCUCAUCGUGCAUACAGCUAGAUAGAUCCAACGAUAUAUAAAGCAGUUACACAAUUGGCAACUGAAGCUUAAUAACAUUUACAUGAAAGUGAACAGAGAUUUUUUAUCUAAAAACAAUGAACAUACUGACCUGGAUGUACUUUUAUUCAUAGGAUAGGAAAAAUGGUAAACUGUUAAUGAACAUGAAACUAACCCAAAGGCUUGCAGAUGGGCCCCUACAAUGGCAAUGCUCAAGUUGAUAUUCUUUUGGUUGAUCAGAGUUUGGUCAGUUCAAUAUGCGAAACGAAUCACAUUAGCAUACAGCUAAAAUUGAUCCACAGAUGACAUCUGUUUACAUCAUUUGAAUCUUAGCAAACUUGUGGAAUUUUAAAUGUCGGCCUUGUCUGAAAAAAUACCAAUCUGUUGAUGCAUCCGUGCAAAUGUUCCGAGGGACAAUUUCCUUUUGAGAUUUUGAUUUAAUGCUUAAAGCUGUCCGAUGAUGAUCAAACUAAAGACUUUCGUUCUUCUGAUGUGCUAUCUCAUGGCGCUGUGCGGAAGCAAUUUGGAGACCUGAACUGAGGAAAUGCUUGAUUUGUUCUUGCCACUGCAAGUUUUGCUAUUUUUUUCAUGUUUUUUCUGCUUGUAGUUUGUGAUGGAAAAUUGUUUUUGUGUUUGUUGCUUCACAACUGGAAGGAUGGCCUGUUGAUAACAGUUUGGUCAUCCCGUAGAGGGAAGCAUAGAUGAAUGGAAACACCGGCCAGUAUUAAACAGCAUGACGCUCUGUCAAACCGUGUCAUGUUACCUGUCUUCUGGCACAUUUCUAACAUAGUACAUAUUUUUAUUUCUCAGAGAUUUUAGUUCCUGAGUCUGUAGCUCGUUAAUUUGGCGGAAGAAAGCCAGCAUUGCACGUGCUUUGGAGGAUUAAACUUGCAGAAAGCUCAGUCAGUUUUGUUCGGUGAUGAUCAAACUAAAUACUUUUGUUCUUCUGAAGUUCUAAUGCGCUAUCUCAUAGCUCGGUGUGGAAGAACACCUUUGUUUAUCAACCGCAUUAUGCCUACCACAGAGCAUCAUUGCCAAAACAAACGGAUGAACAUAUUAUGCAUUCUGAUUGACAAAGCAAUUUACAUGAUUUUAGCAGAGUCCACUGUACUUGAUCUUUGAGUGACCAAACAACUGACAAAUCUUUGUUGAGAAAACCCUUAUCUUGAGAAACCACUGAAUUUGUUUCUGUAGUCGUUGUGGGCUGGGGCCUUGAUUAUUUUUGCAAUGAUGAUACUAUUACCCAGCUCAUUAUGAGACUUCCCUUUGUGGGCAGUCGUGAUAUGAACAUCUCUUUUGUAUCUGAGCCCACUCACAUUUUUCUUAUGAUUUCUUCAUUAUAAUUUGGUACAGCCAAUGAAGGCUCUUCUAGUUUUUGGGAAAAUAGACACAGCUAGACUGUAACUGCUGCAGUGAUGAUAUAAUCCUUGUCUCCCUUUUCUAACAUCCUCCGUUGUAAUAACUGAAUGAGCAAUGAUGCAGGCAGCCUCUUUGUCUGAUUACAUUGGCAAUGGAGGUGUUGUGUUGCUUAAUUUGAUGAUCUUUUGGUUGCUCAUUGUUUGGUCAGAUCAAUAUGCGAAGCAAAUCAGCUUCAACAUUAAGCAUACAGCAAGAUUGAUCCAAAGACGAAAUCUGUUUACGUCAUUUGAAAGCUUAGCAAAACUUGAAUUUUAAAUGUCGACCUUUUCUGAAAAAAAUACCAAUCUGUUGAUGCAUCCGUGCAAAUGUUCUGAGGGACAAUUUCCUUUUGAGAUUUUGAUUUAAUGCUUAAAGCUGUCCAAUGAUGAUCAAACUAAAUACUUUCGUUCUUCUGAUGUGCCAUCUCAUGGCGCUGUGCGGAAGCAAUUUGGAGACCUGAACUGAGGAAAUGCUUGAUUUGUUCUUGCCACUGCAAGUUUUGCUAUUUUUUUCAUGCUUCUGAUCUUCAGAUUAGCUGAGGGGCUUUGCUUCCCUCUGAUCCUCGUCUUAAGAACAUUUUCUAUCUGUUUCGAACUUAAUUUGGUUUCUUUUACAGUUUCUUAAGGAUGAUCUACUUGUUCCUUACAAAUUUGGUUUCCUUUGUGUUUUGGUUGCGGGUUGCCUACCCAAGGGACCUAUGGAUGGAGAGCCCUGCCCGUGCGAAUGUCUCUGAUUUCAGUGGAAUGGAGGUGUUGUGUUGAUUAGAGAUUAAAUCUUCUGCUCUUCAUAUUAGCUGAGGGGCAGGCUCUGGCUUCCCCCUUUGAAGCUUGCCUAGUAGUCUUAAGAACAUUAUCUAUCUGUUUCAAUUCAAUUUGCUAUUCUUUUGUUUGACGUUUUUGACAUAUCAAUCAGUGCUUGGUCAGUUGAGUACGUGAAAUGAGUCACAAUUUUGCUGGUUCUUUUGCAUCUUCUUUUGUGAAAAUUCACCUAGAAAACUUGAUGGAGCUAUCAGUGAUUCAGGCAGCCCUUUUUUCUGAUUACAAUGGCAAUGGAGGUGUUGCAUUGCUCGGAGAGUGAAUCUUCUGCUCUUCAGAUUAGCCGAGAAUUAAAGAACCACAUGAUUUGGUUUCUCUAUGCUUUGCUGGCAGUAAAUUUCUUGUUUGGGGAUCAAUUGAAGCAAAUGAUGAUAGCAAGACAGGGACAUCAGAACCCUGAAUUUCAGGUUAAUGACAGACUACGUCUAUAAUGGGAAUCUCUCUGAUGUUUCUGAUUUUCCCCAAGAUAAAUUGAUCUGUUUUUAUGUCUAUUCUUUUUUCAUAUUUUCUCCUUCUCAUUCUUCUUCGGAAUCCAGAUCUCUUUCCUGUUUUAACUUUUGGCUAUUUGGAUCUUGAAUGCGAAUACUUCAAGCAGAUCAUGGUCAGAAGAUUGUUACACCAUUGGCAACUGAAGCUUAACAACACAUGAAUAUGAUCCGAUAUUUUGUAUUUGAAAGACAGUGAACAUGAUCUUUAGCUGACUCAAGGCUACUUUUAUUCAUAGGAAUAGGAAAGAUGGCGGAUUGCCAUACCAUGCCCAUUUGAAUCCUUUGGAUGCAAAACAAAGGAAUUGAUCCAAGUGUUUGUUUGAUGGAAGCAUAGGAAUUUUUCACACAUCUUUCCAAGAGCUUGCAACUAUAAAAAUCAUAUAAAAAUACUAUGAAUCACACAAGGCCUUAUAAACAGGACAUUUGACUGAACAUGAUUAGACGUUUUGACUGAAAAAACAACCUCAUGAUCUUAAACUGACUUGAAAUGAACUGAACAAUUGAAAGCAAAUGCAUCAUAGUGGCACAGCUAUUUAUUUAUUUUCAUAUAUUUAUAAUUGUUCAUUACAAACCAUGAAUAAAUCCUCUUCUCUUCAGAUGACAUAAUUUUGAUUUCUUGAUGUUUUGUUAAGUAAAAAUUCAAUUCUGGUGGUGUUUCACUUCUUUUAGUUUCUGUUCUGUGAUUGCGUUCGGUCUGGGCUGGAAUCUCCAUUUGCAGCUGGUUUGGUUCAGCUGUGUGCAUUAUUUUAAGCGGGUCUCCUAUUGAUUCUCUUUAAUGUUGUUAGCAUUGUAUUUGGCCGGUCCAGAGUGCCUGUUAUUGGAUGAAUGAGUAGUUAAUCAGUUGUGAUCAAUAUGAUUUGAUUAUUUGGGGAUGUGUUAUGGCAGUGAUGAUAAAUUAAAGGCUUGUUUCUCAAAACAUUCGCAGUUGCCGCCUAAGAGCUUUCGCCCUGCCAGGCUUGAGAGCUAAUGCUGCUAAUUCCUUCCUUGGAUGUCUGAGCCUUAUGAAAUCCCCAAUUUAUCUUUAUUUCUAUCUUACUUUGUUGUCUUCAUUUCCUGAUCUAAUUAUUCCGCCUUCUCCUUUUUGAUGUUUAUCUUGUUAAAUGUUGUUGUGUUUUGUUGGUUCACUCGGGGAGCACUGACCCAUGUCCGCCCACCGUUUACAACGCUCCCAAGAGGUAUUCUGGUGGCGCCUAGAGCACAAGAUCUUGGGUUACGCUCGCCCCCAAAUUCCAGUUUAAUCUCUACUGUUCUAUCUUUUUUUUCAUGGAUUAUAAUUCUAGUUAUUGUAGGAUUGAUUAAACCUUUGUUGGUGCAGUGAUUAUAAAACAUUCCUCGUACUGAUGGGAAAUCCCCGUGAACGACAACUAUAGACCCAUAGAAUCUGAGCACCAGCAAACAAUAUUUCCUCUGGUUUCAUUUGAUUCUUAAUUUUGUUUUCUGUUUAUUUCCCCUGACUUUCUUUUCGUUUGGACUUGAGACCAAACGUUUAUCUGUAUCUGUUGACUUGAGGUGUGGUAAAUUCUCUAUUCGUAUUGCUGGUGGUUGCGAUUUGCAGUGAUUAUAAAAUGUUCAGAUACAAACUGUGACUGAUGGGAGCCGCUAGUCAUCAGUUCAGAUACAAACUGUGACUGAUGGGAGCCGCUAGUCAUCAGUUCAGAUACAGACUUUGGAGUGGAGCACUAAAGUCCAGCCAUGGGAGCCGCUAGUCAUCAGUUCAGAUACAGACUUUGGAGUGGAGCACUAAAGUCCAGCCAUGUCUUGCUAGUUCGUGGGCCACCGUAUUACAAGACCUUGGACAGUAGUCAGUGAACUAUGCAGCUCCUUUUCAGUUAGAGCAGUUGCAAUGCAUCGGGUUCUAUUAAGCAGUCGAGUCAAGCACUGUCUUCAUGAAAUGUAAUUUAUACUGUUGAAAUAGACGGUUUCAGUAGGGCUCACUUAUUUUCUUUUUUAAAUGUAGCCUUAUAGCUUCUAAAAGAUUUUGCAAUUGCUUGUCGUUAGUGAAUCAUUGUGAAGCUUGUUUAGUGAUCAUCCUGAUGAUCAAUGCUUAUAAAUGUAUCACUACUUA